This 436-nucleotide ribosomal RNA is filed under the name uncultured soil bacterium. RNAcentral describes it as "bacterial SSU rRNA". It matches the Rfam family "Bacterial small subunit ribosomal RNA", at positions 26 to 506 of the family's 1533-position model. The record is from RNAcentral.
AGAACGAACGCUGGCGGCAGGCUUAACACAUGCAAGUCGAACGCCCCGCAAGGGGAGUGGCAGACGGGUGAGUAACGCGUGGGAACCUACCCAAUUCUACGGAACAACUGAGGGAAACUUCAGCUAAUACCGUAUACGCCCUACGGGGGAAAGAUUUAUCGGAGUUGGAUGGGCCCGCGUUGGAUUAGCUAGUUGGUGAGGUAACGGCUCACCAAGGCGACGAUCCAUAGCUGGUCUGAGAGGAUGAUCAGCCACACUGGGACUGAGACACGGCCCAGACUCCUACGGGAGGCAGCAGGUGGGAAUAGUGGACAAGUGGGCGAAAGCCUGAUCCAGCAAUGCCGCGUGAGUGAUAGGAAGGUCCGUUAGGGUAGUAAGCUUACGUUUACCGGAUGAUAAUGAUACGGUACGGAAGAAUAGCGUCGACUAACUCCGU